Molecule: long non-coding RNA, 2139 nt
Organism: Rosa rugosa (rugosa rose)
Lineage: Eukaryota; Viridiplantae; Streptophyta; Magnoliopsida; Rosales; Rosaceae
Exons: 2
Source: RefSeq, a predicted model, not a curated record
CGCCAAGGGUCCUAAGAGUCUACUUGGCAAGGUGUUACAAGUUGGUAUUUCCAUUCAUUCAUCCAUGUUUGUUUGCUUCAUAUACCUAAGAAAGUUUGGGUGCCAACUCACAAGCCUUGUCCAUAAGCAGCAUGCAGUAGUUGGGGAGCUAUAAAAGUCGGCCUCAAUAAACUAGUUUUUCCUCCCUAAACUAUAUACAAAGUGGUGUUGCUAUAAUUGUUAGAAAAGUAGUUUAGCAUGUAGGGUAGGUACCACCUUUGUAUCAUUUCCCACUACUACAUGUCCCUUAGAACAUGGAGGAAUUUAUGGAGGGAAUCACGGCUUUAAGGCCUUAGAUGUAGGAGUGUUGUUUUAUCAGACUUGUAUAUAUAUAUAUGUUGUAUAAGAUUGACAUCAAUAAUACAACAGAAACCAUUCCAACCGAAUCUUCUUCUUUUCAUUCUUCUUCUUUUCAUGGUACCAGAGCAGGACGAAAAUCUGCUUAUGCUCACGCUGUGCUUUGUGUUCUCGUAUAGUAGCCAACUCCCAACCCUCUCCUAUCACUGCCGCAUUCUAGCCUCUCGUGCUGCAGAUCUUCUUCUCAUUCCGUUGUACUCUAUAUCUCGUACAACAUUUUAGUUUACUACCACUCCUUCUCCUUGGUAUUUGCACGCCUGCUGCUGCACCUCCCUACACCUCCUUGGUAUUUGCUAUAUCUCCUCGGCCACCACUCUCGCCUGCUGCACUAGAGCACGCCUGCUCACCUCCCUACACACUGAAAAGUUGCUGCAUGUUUUUAAUUAAAGAAAAGCCACUAUCUCUUCCUCACACCAUUCCAACUUGUCUGCCGAUACUUUCCUCACGCCUGCUCACCUCCCUACACACUGAAAAGUUGCUGCAUUUUUUUAAUUAAAGAAAAGUCAUUAUCUCUUCCUCACACCAUUCCAACUUGUCUGCCAUUAUUUCCUUUUUCCUACUUGAAAGUUGUAGCAAGCCACCGACCCUCCACCAUUUUUUUGGUCCUCUCAAGUGUGCAGCUUGUCUCCAUCUUGCUGCAGAUUUUUUUCUCCAGGGCCAAAAUUCUUGACUCCAUAGCCGCUGCACCUUAUCUCUCGUGCAACGAAUUUUCUUCCCAUUCCGUUGUACAUUAUAUCUCUGAUUACACGCAUUUAUAUGCAUAAAAUAAGCGGAAUUGCGGAAAUAAGAGAAAAUGGUGCUAAAAUGAAGAUAAUUGGAGUUUCCGACAAAAUGAAGAAAUAGUCAAUGCGGGUCAACCGUGGUCAACGCCAUCAAUAGAGCGGAAUUCAAUCACCUUCGAUGAUAUGUUGUGGAAGUGCAUUGAAAAAUUGAGGAAAAGAAAGAAAAAAAAAUUUUGAUGUUUGCUGAUGUCAUGAUGACGUCAGCAUGGCUGAUCCCUUCUUCUUCCCAUGUGCAGCCAUUUCCUUUCCUUUUCAAGUUUUCAUUUUCUUCCUUCCUCUCAGCCGCUGCCACGUGUCCUAUCUCUCAUUUUCUUUCUUCUUGUACACGAACAGCCACAGACACACACGUUAAUUAACCUAGGCCAUAUAUAUACCCUUUUCUCUUUGCAACCAGGGGAUCACACGCAGAACCCACGAACAGACAGCAGCCGCACCAAAACAGAGGCAGCCCUUUGGGCUGCUCUCUUUCCCUUCCUUCUCCCUCUUUUCUUCACCUCACUAAGAUUCACACCUCCUCACCAAUAUCUACUUCACCAAAAUCCCUCCUUCUUAUCUUUUCUUCUCCUCACUAAGAUCUCCUCACCAAAAUUCAUUCUCCUCACCAAGAUCUACCUCACCAAAAUUCACCUCACCAAGAUCUACCUCACUAAAAUUCCAUCUUCUCAUCAAUUUCACAAGAUUCAAAGGGGAAGCCCAAGCAUCAAAAGCUUCAUCAUUAUUAAGUUUGGGUAAAAGUGGGGAGCCAUAAAUCAAGGCUAGUCAUAAUUGCUUUUGUAGCAAUUUGUGGCUUGUUCUUGUUACUCCUACUUCUCUUCACUUUGUUCCUCUUUAAAUUAUGUAUUUUGAUAUUAGUUUGGUGAUGGGUAGUGAGUAGUUUUGUUGUUGGGGGUUAGGGUUGUGUGCCCUAGCCCAAAUUUGAUGUAAUGGAUGCUUAAUUUAAUUUAUAUAUGGAAUUUGUUAA